Molecule: ribosomal RNA, 466 nt
Filed under: uncultured bacterium
Lineage: Bacteria
Description: partial 16S ribosomal RNA
Rfam family: Bacterial small subunit ribosomal RNA
Source: RNAcentral
GACGAACGCUGGCGGCGCGCCUAACACAUGCAGGUCGAACGAGCGAGAGAGAGCUUGCUUUCUCGAGCGAGUGGCGAACGGGUGAGUAACGCGUGAGGAACCUGCCUCAAAGAGGGGGACAACAGUUGGAAACGACUGCUAAUACCGCAUAAGCCCACGGUGCCGCAUGGCACAGAGGGAAAAGGAGCAAUCCGCUUUGAGAUGGCCUCGCGUCCGAUUAGCUAGUUGGUGAGGUAAUGGCCCACCAAGGCGACGAUCGGUAGCCGGACUGAGAGGUUGAACGGCCACAUUGGGACUGAGACACGGCCCAGACUCCUACGGGAGGCAGCAGUGGGGAAUAUUGCACAAUGGGGGAAACCCUGAUGCAGCGACGCCGCGUGGAGGAAGAAGGUCUUCGGAUUGUAAACUCCUGUUGUUGGGGAAGAUAAUGACGGUACCCAACAAGGAAGUGGCGGCUAACUACGUA